Molecule: ribosomal RNA, 216 nt
Filed under: Glomeromycotina sp.
Lineage: Eukaryota; Fungi; Glomeromycota
Description: partial small subunit ribosomal RNA
Rfam family: Eukaryotic small subunit ribosomal RNA (bases 40-216)
Source: RNAcentral
GGGUCAGUAGGUUGGUCGUGCCACCGGUACGUACUGGUCUCACUGAUUCCUCCUUCCUGAAGAACCGUAAUGCCAUUAAUUUGGUGUUGCGAGGAAACAGGACUGUUACUUUGAAAAAAUUAGAGUGUUUAAAGCAAGCUAACGCUUGAAUACAUUAGCAUAGAAUAAUGAAAUAGGACGAUCGAUCCUAUUUUGUUGGUUUCUAGGAUUGACGUA